This 430-nucleotide ribosomal RNA is filed under the name Bacteroidota bacterium. Its description in RNAcentral is "Bacteroidetes bacterium partial 16S ribosomal RNA". It matches the Rfam family "Bacterial small subunit ribosomal RNA", at positions 355 to 776 of the family's 1533-position model. Lineage: Bacteria; Pseudomonadati; Bacteroidota. The record is from RNAcentral.
UAGGGAAUCUUCGGCAAUGGGGGGAACCCUGACCGAGCAACGCCGCGUGAGUGAAGAAGGUUUUCGGAUCGUAAAGCUCUGUUGUUAAGGAAGAACGAGUGUGAGAAUGGAAAGUUCAUGCUGUGACGGUACUUAACCAGAAAGGGACGGCUAACUACGUGCCAGCAGCCGCGGUAAUACGUAGGUCCCGAGCGUUGUCCGGAUUUAUUGGGCGUAAAGCGAGCGCAGGCGGUCAAUUAAGUCUGAUGUGAAAGCCCCCGGCUCAACCGGGGAGGGUCAUUGGAAACUGGUUGACUUGAGUGCAGAAGAGGAGAGUGGAAUUCCAUGUGUAGCGGUGAAAUGCGUAGAUAUAUGGAGGAACACCAGUGGCGAAGGCGACUCUCUGGUCUGUUACUGACGCUGAGGCUCGAAAGCGUGGGUAGCAAACAGG